UACGUAGGCAGCGAGCGUUGUUCGGAGUUACUGGGCGUAAAGGGUGUGUAGGCGGUUGUUUAAGUUUGGUGUGAAAUCUCCCGGCUCAACUGGGAGGGUCAUUCGAUACUGGCGGCUCGAGGCCGGUAGGGGGAAGCGGAAUUCCCGGUGUAGUGGUGGAAUGCGUAGAUAUCGGGAGGAACACCAGUGGCGAAGGCGGCUUCCUGGACCGG
Molecule: ribosomal RNA, 212 nt
Filed under: uncultured bacterium
Lineage: Bacteria
Description: partial 16S ribosomal RNA
Rfam family: Bacterial small subunit ribosomal RNA
Source: RNAcentral